GAUGCUUGGACUUCUUCCUUGAAAGAUUGAGAGGUUAAGGCAGCCUUUAAUGCUUCUUCACAAUGAUAGCUGGCUGAAAUUCACUCACUCUCCCUCUCUUUCAAUCUGUCUUUAAUGUUGGAAGGAUUGGAUUUAUGACUCUCCCAAAUUCCUUCCUUUCUCUCUUACGAUUCCUCACACUUUUCUCUUGAAUGAAUACUCAAUGAGCUCUUUUUCUUUCAAACGUUGUUCUUAGAUAUUCAAGAUGUUCAAAGUUCCAAAAGUUAGUUUCCUCCGCCAAUUCCUCAUAUUUAUUGACUGAAAAACACCUUCAAUUAAUGCUAUAGCCAUUUAGGAUGAGAAAAUAGCCAUUUGGAAUUAAUUAGCCAUGUUUCAGGAUUUCUGAAAAACUAGCCGUUAUUUUGUCUGCAUUCAUUGAGUCGGCUCACCUCAUCACUGAGUCGGCUAACUGAAAAUCUAAGUCAGCUUCAACAGCAGGUGCCAAAAAUCCCGCAUUCUAUCUUGCUCUGCUAGCCUGAAACUAGGUCGGCUCAGACUGUCUUAAUCGACUCACUUGAUAACUCAAUCGGCUCACUAAUUGUAUGGAUUGACUCAGAAGAAAUAUUGAUUUAUACUAUUUUCUGUGUUCAUCUUCCUCUGAAAUCAAGUCGGCUCCUCUCUUCACUAAGUCGGCUAAGUUCCAGACUUGAUCGGCUAAGUUAAUUACUGGGUCAGCUCAGAGAAUUAUUCUAUAUUUUAAAGGCUUGUCUUUCCUGUCUUCUGAUACUGGGUCGGCUUAGCUUCAGGCUGGAUCAGCUCAGACAUGUAUCAAGCAUGCCAUAGGGAGUUUUAGACAGCAUUUCUUGAACCAAAUUAUUUUUAGGUUAGACUUGCCCUCUUAAACAUAAUUUUCACUUAUUAAGAAGCGCAUUUAGACUAGAUUAAACCCUCUAAUUCUUAUACCUCUUUGCUUCCAAUUUUGAGGGUUUUAGGUGAGGAAAAAUGACCUUUCUUGAAACUAAGGCCUUUUGAUUUUCUGAAGAUAAUGUAUUUAAGUCUUCCUUGCCUUUGAGUAUUUCUUGAGGAUAUGGUCUUUGAAAUUUCGUGAGGAUAAAGCCUUUUGAGUAAUUUGAAUUAGCAAUUUGAAGAAGCCUACAACCAUUCUUAAGCAAUUCAUUAGUAAACAUAAUUUAUACUCAAAUACUUUUUGACAUCAUCAAAAUCAAUUUUAGGGCUAACAUCCACUUAUCAUGGAAGCAGUUCACCUCAAGAUUGUUGAAUGGUGCCUUAACAUGUUUUUAUAAAAUAGAAAGCAACCAAAAAUAUAGUUCUCUUUUCAUUGGUAUUAAAUAUUUCAAUAGAGAGGAUGGUGAAACUGAUUGAUGCUGACCUACAAAAUUUGGAUUUUGCACGGCUUAUACUAAAUUUUCAGAACUAACUUCCUGUAGAAACAUGUCCUUUUAAAAAUGGACUGAUUAUCUCAUUUGGAGAUAUGAAAACUUACUCAGAUGCCAAACAAGAGCACUAAUCAAUUUCCACCUGUGUAGACCUCAAGAAAAGCCCUUGCAUAUGCUAAGCUGAACAGGAGGAAACUUAUCAAGAUUCAACAAGCCAGACAUGAAGAGGAGACCAGAAUACACGGUCAAAGUAAAGAAGGUGACACAUUUCCACAAAUCAAUUCACUAUUCUCAACCCUAUCUUUCACAAAAUGGUCAGUCAUUUUGUCAGUGUUGUAUUGAACCAGAUGAAGUUUGCUGGAGAGGGUAGAUCUCUUCCUUGGCCAAAUAGUGUAUGAUUUCCUAAGUAUGCUUUAUGCAGCCCCUUACAGGAGGCCGCAAAGGAAACAAAUUGAUUAGUGCAGAAAUAAAUUUCAGAUCUGAACCAACGUCCGUAGUUUUUCCUUCAGCCGGGAAACAGAUAUAAAGUAAAGAAAAGAGAAGAAGAGAUUGAACAAAAGAGUAGAAGAAUACAGAGACUG
This 1957-nucleotide long non-coding RNA is filed under the name Elaeis guineensis (African oil palm). RNAcentral's name for it is "long non-coding RNA (EGUI_LNC024323)". The record is from RNAcentral. Lineage: Eukaryota; Viridiplantae; Streptophyta; Magnoliopsida; Arecales; Arecaceae.